RNAcentral lists this small RNA (127 nucleotides) under Marmota monax (woodchuck). Lineage: Eukaryota; Metazoa; Chordata; Mammalia; Rodentia; Sciuridae. The record is from RNAcentral.
GCCGGGCACAGUGGUGCAUGCCUGUAAUCCCAGCAGCUCAGGAGGCCGAGGUAGGAGGAUCAAGAGUUCAAAGCCAGCCUCAGCAAUUUAGCAAGGCCCUAAGCAACUCAGUGAGACCCUGUCUCUA